RNAcentral lists this ribosomal RNA (462 nucleotides) under uncultured bacterium. RNAcentral describes it as "partial 16S ribosomal RNA". It matches the Rfam family "Bacterial small subunit ribosomal RNA", at positions 28 to 507 of the family's 1533-position model. The record is from RNAcentral.
GACGAACGCUGGCGGCGUGCUUAACACAUGCAAGUCGAACGGAAAGGCCCUUCGGGGUACCCGAGUGGCGAACGGGUGAGUAACACGUGGGUGAUCUGCCCUGCACUUUGGGAUAAGCCUGGGAAACUGGGUCUAAUACCGGAUAGGACCACGGCAUUCAUGUGCUGUGGUGGAAAGCUUUUGCGGUGUGGGAUGGGCCCGCGGCCUAUCAGCUUGUUGGUGGGGUAAUGGCCUACCAAGGCGACGACGGGUAGCCGGCCUGAGAGGGUGACCGGCCACACUGGGACUGAGAUACGGCCCAGACUCCUACGGGAGGCAGCAGUGGGGAAUAUUGCACAAUGGGCGCAAGCCUGAUGCAGCGACGCCGCGUGAGGGAUGACGGCCUUCGGGUUGUAAACCUCUUUCGCCAGGGACGAAGCGCAAGUGACGGUAUCUGGAGAAGAAGGACCGGCCAACUACGUG